This is a long non-coding RNA of Oncorhynchus tshawytscha (Chinook salmon), 1486 nucleotides long. Lineage: Eukaryota; Metazoa; Chordata; Actinopteri; Salmoniformes; Salmonidae. The record is from Ensembl.
UAAAAAAAAAAAAAAAAGGUAAGAUGGAGCUGAGAGACACAUCAGACCAGACCAGGGACAACUGUACAUUUCUGGCAUUAUGUACAUUAAUGUUAGCAGGGAGCUGUACAUACCUCAACAUAGUGACUGAGUUUCAUUGAGACGUAUACACAUUAUGGUUCCACAGCAGCAUAGCUGUGGUAUAUACUGUACAUUAAUGUUAGCAGGGAACUGUACUGCUGGAAUACCUCAACAUAGUGACUGAGUUUCAUUGAGACGUAUACACAUUAUGGUUCCACGGCAGCCUAGCUGUGGUAUAUACUGUACAUACCGGGACAAAUAUACGUCAAUAUUAUAGAAGACAUCAUUUAGACUCUAAAAAAGGGUUCUUGUUUUUCCCCUCCAAAGCAGGUACCGGGUUAAAGCCGGUGUGAUGACAUCGGCCAAGAACGAACAGCGUUAUCGUUACUCUACUCUUACCGCAAACCAACGCUUCAACCCCACGUCCACCCCAUUUAGAAGGCAGGUUCUGUUGGUAUGUUUACAGGGCGGUACAGAGACACACAGGGUGAUCAAUUAAUCAGUGAUUCAACUCUGAUUGGGAAUCAUUCUACCACUCUAAAGGGAGGAGGGGGAGGGGGAGGGGGGGGUAAUGCUAGAGGAUAAUGUACCAUUCGAUAAGAAUCACCUCAGAUAUACUGUGUAUUCCCCAUGUUGAUACUAGAGCAUACAGUAUGUUGGCUUAGCCCGUAGACCACUUGGUCUCAGAGACGAUACUUCACAGUACAGUUUGGAGACAUAUUUCUGCUUCGAAUGGAAACUUCCAGCCACAUAUUUCUGCCCUGGAUGGAAACUUCCAGCCACAGAUUUCUGCCCCGGAUGGAAACUUCCAGCCACAGAUUUCUGCCCCGGAUGGAAACUUCCAGCCACAGAUUUCUGCUUCGAAUGGAAACUUCCAGCCACAGAUUUCUGCUUCGAAUGGAAACUUCCAGCCACAGAUUUCUGCUUCAAAUGGAAACGUCCAGCCACAGAUUUCUGCCCCGGAUGGAAACGUCCAGCCACAGAUUUCUGCUAGCAGCAGUGUUUUCUACAUCUUGUGUGAUCAAACGAGGAUCAAGACGACCAAACUUAACACGGUGGAGGACUGCAACAUUCCUACAGGAUUCCUCAAAUAGAGCAUAGAGGAAUUAUCAUGUGAUCGUUGGUAUGGACUUCAGAGGCCCUCGUUGACACAUAUGAACACAGUCUACUGUUAUGAACACAGUCUACUGUUAUGAACACAGUCUACUGUACUGGACAUUAUGAACACAGUCUACUGUAGUGGACAUUAUGAACACAGUCUACUGUACUGGACAUUAUGAACACAGUCUACUGUACUGGACAUUAUGAACACAGUCUACUGUACUGGACAUUAUGAACACAGUCUACUGUUAUGAACACAGUCUACUGUACUGGACAUUAUGAACACAGUCUACUGUACUGGACAUUAUGAACACAGUCUACUGUA